GAGAGCAGAGCCUGGCCCCAGAAUUCCCAGGUGUUUUCAUUUGGUGAUCAGCACUAAACACAGAAGACUCACUAUGGAGUUUGGGCUGAGCUGGGUUUUCCUUGUUGUUAUUUUACAAGGUGUCCAGUGUGAGGUGCAGCUGCUGGAGUCUGGGGGAGGCUUGGUACAGCCUGGGGGGUCCCUGAGACUCUCCUGUGCAGCCUCUGGAUUCACCUUCAGUGACUACUACAUGGACUGGGUCCGCCAGGCUCCAGGGAAGGGGCUGGAGUGGGUUGGCCGUAUUAGAAACAAAGCUAACAGUUACACCACAGAAUACGCCGCGUCUGUGAAAGGCAGAUUCACCAUCUCAAGAGAUGAUUCAAAGAACUCACUGUAUCUGCAAAGGAACAGCCUGAAAACCGAGGACACGGCCGUGUAUUACUGUACUAGAGACACAGUGACGGGAGGUCAGUGUGAGCCCAGACACAAACCUCCCUGCAGGGGCGCGCGGGGCCACCAGGGGGCGCUCGGGACCCACUGAGGGCGGGACAGGUCCCAGGAGCAGGUGCAGGGGGAGGUUUCCUGUCUCAGCUGCAGGAGGCGGGCUUGUUUUUGCAGGACUCUGGAGCCUUAUGAGGUUGCACUAUUUUAUUAUGGUUAUUUAUCAUGUGUUUUUUAUUGAUAUUUGUGUUUUAGUAAUUUUUACAUUUAUAUGUAGGGGUAUUUUUAAAAAAUACAUAACUUCAAGAAAUAAUUCUUCCUAAUAAUUUGCACUUAUUCCUCUAAAGUUUUAUUAACAUCUGUUGAUAUCAGCAACUACAUAGCUAUGCGUUACAUUAAUUUAUGUCUAUAAACAUAUGUGUGAAUACAUGAAACUAUGCAUACAUGUGUAGUCAUUUAUAUUUAACCUUAUAAUAAAAUGAUAAAUUAAAUAAAAUAAUUGAAUUAAAUUAAAAGAAUUAAACUUAAUGAUGAACUAAAUAUAAAUUAGAGCAAUCCGUAAUUGAUUUCAAUCCUUCUCUAUGGUUUACAUAAAUUGAUGUCUACUUGUAAGCUUAAGUAUAGUGAAUUGGUCAUUUUAAAAUAGCCAAGAACAAAUUUCAAAUGUUCUUGUCACCAAAAAAUGAUAAGGACUUGAAGAUUUGAGGUGAUAUAUAUGUCAAUUAGCUCGAUUCAAUUAUUCCACAUUGCAUUCAUAAAUCAUAACAUAGCUUUGUACCCCAUCAGUAUAUGGGGUACAACCAAAAUUUCUCAAUUUCCAAUGAAAUUUUAAUUAUAUAUUUUUUAAUUUGAUGCCUCUCUUUGGAUCAGGCCACCUCCUCAGGAUUACAGUGCUGUUCAGUUUUCUCAACAUGCUGUUGUACCAGAUAAGCACAAAACACUUAAUUUCAUUAUGCUUUGCUUUAGUUUUUCAAAACAACAUAAAGGUAAUAAUUUUCCCAACAAACAUAUUACAGCCUAUUCUACACUUUUUUAUUUUUUGUUUUUAUGAGAUAAAAUUUACAUGUAAGAAAAAAUUUAUAGAUCUGAAAUGUGUCACUAGAGAGUUUCCGGCAAAUGUGAAUACCCUUGUCCCGAACACCUAAGGUAGACUAAAGAGCAAGUCCAUACUCACAACAUGCGUCUUUCUCUGUGCCUGUGGUCAACCCCUACGUGGGGAAGUGUUUUGAUUUCUGACACCAUAGAUCCAUUUUUUUUCUGUUUUGAGCUUUAUAUAAAUGGAAUCAAACAUUAUAGACCUUUUUUUGGUAAGGGACUACUUUGCUAUUUUUUAGGUUAAUUCAUGCUAUUUAAUGUAUGAAAUUAGAUCAUCAUAGUGUCAUUUACUCAAUUAAUGGGCUGACUCUUAUAUGAAACCUCAAAGUCUUCAUGUAUAUAUGGAGAGAGAGAGAGAGAGGGAGGAAGGACAGAGAUUUUAUAUCUGAGACAGUCCAUUGAGUAAAUAUAUGACAAUAUAUUGAUCUAUUUUUUGUCUAUGGAUUUUACAUUUGUUUCCAGUAUAUGAAUAUUAUAAGCAAAGCUGUUACAAAUACAUUAGUGUAAGUUUUUCUAUCUAUGUUGUCUCAAUUUUGUUGAGAAAAUAUGAAGUAUGUUUUUCUUUAUUGUAAGAGGAAGCUUAAUUUUUUUCAGUUUUAUUGAGGUAAAAAUAAAAUAUUUUUUAAAAUG
Molecule: non-coding RNA, 2145 nt
Organism: Pan troglodytes (chimpanzee)
Lineage: Eukaryota; Metazoa; Chordata; Mammalia; Primates; Hominidae
Source: the annotation of a RefSeq genome assembly